Molecule: small RNA, 1165 nt
Filed under: Histoplasma capsulatum var. duboisii H88
Lineage: Eukaryota; Fungi; Ascomycota; Eurotiomycetes; Onygenales; Ajellomycetaceae
Description: Histoplasma capsulatum H88 hypothetical RNA
Source: RNAcentral
ACCCUAUUAGACGAUACACGCAUUCACCACUCUUGCAUACCCUUCCUUAUCUCUCUGCUGCAGCCUGUUUCUUCAAGUCCAGAUACUUGGCCGCAUAAUCAUUUGCCAAUACCAGAUCCCCAGACAGAUGCAUCACAGUCGCCUUUUUCGCCAUCAUCUCGCAUUGGCCCUGCACAUCCUCCACAUUUGAAAACUCCCCAAACGCGCAGUCAAUAAAUUCCACCGCCCGCGCCAUAUGCUCCUUCUGCCGUACUUUGUCCCUCCCCUGGCUGUGCACCUGCACUUGUCCCGCCAGCCCCAUGUUGGCAUCAGCUAAUAGAGAAUAUGUACGUGCGGUGAGAUACGCAUCUUCGCACUCGUGAACUUGAGGUUGGUUGGUUUGGUCAAAGAUCCUUGCUUUGUACACUAGCAAUUUGACCUGGGUGGCAACGUCGAAGUUCUCCUGUCGCAUCGACUGGGCAUUUCGCUCAACUAUUUCGAGCGCAGCUGUGUAGUCACCCUUUCGCAUCAAAAAGUCUACCUCCAAGAGCGAGAGUGUCAACACUAAUUCUGUGUCUGGUGGAGCACAUGCAUGUAGUUGUGAUAUAAGCUGCUCGGCUGCUAGUUUAUCAUCUCUGCUUAAUUGGUCAGCCAAUCCUUUUGUAAAGGGGAAGGAAAUUUAAUUACCGAUGAAGUUGUCUUUGCAGCUUCAAAAGUCCGCAAAAGAAUGUCCAAUUCUGUUGGAUCCUAAGAACUCGAAGCGAAUCGGAAGAUAUCUCAUUUAACCGAGCCAUAGACAGGCCAUAGCUUCCUCUAGCGGCCAGCUUCUGACUGUCAGCUUUUUACCCUUCGUUAUAGGCCACGCGAGAAAAGUGUUACUUACCAACAUGCUACCCAGACAUGUCACUCUUAGGUUGUCUUCAUGUGGAGCUUGUUCUGCAUAGCAUUCUCGAAAGAUUUCGCAAUUAGACCACGCCAGAUGUGCGACCCCUUCAGCGUUGCAAGAUUCUUAGCAAAUCCCGAGAAUGUUUUAAAGCAAAGACCAAAAAAAAAUAUCAUUACCUAUUCGAGAAUAUGUCGAAGCUUGCAGCAUAAGCAGAGGCCCAGCUAAAUUAGGCGCGUCCUUCGUCACAUUGAGAAAUGAGGCUUUGACAAUAUGUUCAAAUGCCGACGCCACACUCUCGCC